This 204-nucleotide ribosomal RNA is filed under the name uncultured bacterium. Its description in RNAcentral is "partial 16S ribosomal RNA". It matches the Rfam family "Bacterial small subunit ribosomal RNA", at positions 1289 to 1500 of the family's 1533-position model. The record is from RNAcentral.
CAGUUCGAAUCGGAGUCUGCAACCCGACUCCGUGAAGCUGGAUUCGCUAGUAAUCGCGCAUCAGCCAUGGCGCGGUGAAUACGUUCCCGGGCCUUGUACACACCGCCCGUCAAGCCAUGGGAGCCGGGGGUGCUUGAAGUGCGUCGCCGUGAGGCGCGCCCUAGAGCAAAACCGGUGACUGGGGCUAAGUCGUAACAAGGUACC